AGGGUUUGACAUCCUGCGAAUCUCUUGGAAACUUGAGAGUGCCUUCGGGAACGCAGUGACAGGUGGUGCAUGGCUGUCGUCAGCUCGUGUCGUGAGAUGUUGGGUUAAGUCCCGCAACGAGCGCAACCCACGUCUUUAGUUGCCAGCAUUUAGUUGGGCACUCUAGAGAGACCGCCGGUGAUAAACCGGAGGAAGGUGUGGAUGACGUCAAGUCAUCAUGCCCCUUACAUCCUGGGCUACACACGUACUACAAUGCUACGGACAAAGGGCAGCAAGUUCGCGAGGACAAGCAAAUCCCAUAAACCGUAGCUCAGUUCAGAUCGUAGGCUGCAACUCGCCUACGUGAAGGAGGAAUCGCUAGUAAUCGCAGGUCAGCAUAC
RNAcentral lists this ribosomal RNA (380 nucleotides) under uncultured Synechococcus sp. RNAcentral describes it as "bacterial SSU rRNA". It matches the Rfam family "Bacterial small subunit ribosomal RNA", at positions 976 to 1357 of the family's 1533-position model. Lineage: Bacteria; Bacillati; Cyanobacteriota; Cyanophyceae; Synechococcales; Synechococcaceae. The record is from RNAcentral.